AACUCUGAGCGGUGGAUCACUCAGCUCGUGUGUGUCAAUGAAGAACGCAGAUAGCUGUGAGAACUAAUGUGAAUUGCAGGACAUAUUUAUCAUUGACACUUCAAAUGCACUUUGUGGCCCUGGGUUAUGCCCAGGGCUACACCUGUCUGAGUGUUG
Protopterus annectens (West African lungfish) is the source of this 156-nucleotide ribosomal RNA. RefSeq annotates it as 5.8S ribosomal RNA. The record is from RefSeq and is a predicted model, not a curated record. The transcript has a single exon. NCBI's taxonomy places the organism in Eukaryota, Metazoa, Chordata, Ceratodontiformes, Protopteridae.